RNAcentral lists this ribosomal RNA (2902 nucleotides) under Escherichia coli HVH 36 (4-5675286). Its description in RNAcentral is "bacterial LSU rRNA". It matches the Rfam family "Bacterial large subunit ribosomal RNA". The record is from RNAcentral. Lineage: Bacteria; Pseudomonadati; Pseudomonadota; Gammaproteobacteria; Enterobacterales; Enterobacteriaceae.
UUAAGCGACUAAGCGUACACGGUGGAUGCCCUGGCAGUCAGAGGCGAUGAAGGACGUGCUAAUCUGCGAUAAGCGUCGGUAAGGUGAUAUGAACCGUUAUAACCGGCGAUUUCCGAAUGGGGAAACCCAGUGUGAUUCGUCACACUAUCAUUAACUGAAUCCAUAGGUUAAUGAGGCGAACCGGGGGAACUGAAACAUCUAAGUACCCCGAGGAAAAGAAAUCAACCGAGAUUCCCCCAGUAGCGGCGAGCGAACGGGGAGCAGCCCAGAGCCUGAAUCAGUGUGUGUGUUAGUGGAAGCGUCUGGAAAGGCGCGCGAUACAGGGUGACAGCCCCGUACACAAAAAUGCACAUACUGUGAGCUCGAUGAGUAGGGCGGGACACGUGGUAUCCUGUCUGAAUAUGGGGGGACCAUCCUCCAAGGCUAAAUACUCCUGACUGACCGAUAGUGAACCAGUACCGUGAGGGAAAGGCGAAAAGAACCCCGGCGAGGGGAGUGAAAAAGAACCUGAAACCGUGUACGUACAAGCAGUGGGAGCACGCUUAGGCGUGUGACUGCGUACCUUUUGUAUAAUGGGUCAGCGACUUAUAUUCUGUAGCAAGGUUAACCGAAUAGGGGAGCCGAAGGGAAACCGAGUCUUAACUGGGCGUUAAGUUGCAGGGUAUAGACCCGAAACCCGGUGAUCUAGCCAUGGGCAGGUUGAAGGUUGGGUAACACUAACUGGAGGACCGAACCGACUAAUGUUGAAAAAUUAGCGGAUGACUUGUGGCUGGGGGUGAAAGGCCAAUCAAACCGGGAGAUAGCUGGUUCUCCCCGAAAGCUAUUUAGGUAGCGCCUCGUGAAUUCAUCUCCGGGGGUAGAGCACUGUUUCGGCAAGGGGGUCAUCCCGACUUACCAACCCGAUGCAAACUACGAAUACCGGAGAAUGUUAUCACGGGAGACACACGGCGGGUGCUAACGUCCGUCGUGAAGAGGGAAACAACCCAGACCGCCAGCUAAGGUCCCAAAGUCAUGGUUAAGUGGGAAACGAUGUGGGAAGGCCCAGACAGCCAGGAUGUUGGCUUAGAAGCAGCCAUCAUUUAAAGAAAGCGUAAUAGCUCACUGGUCGAGUCGGCCUGCGCGGAAGAUGUAACGGGGCUAAACCAUGCACCGAAGCUGCGGCAGCGACGCUGAUGCGUUGUUGGGUAGGGGAGCGUUCUGUAAGCCUGUGAAGGUGUACUGUGAGGCAUGCUGGAGGUAUCAGAAGUGCGAAUGCUGACAUAAGUAACGAUAAAGCGGGUGAAAAGCCCGCUCGCCGGAAGACCAAGGGUUCCUGUCCAACGUUAAUCGGGGCAGGGUGAGUCGACCCCUAAGGCGAGGCCGAAAGGCGUAGUCGAUGGGAAACAGGUUAAUAUUCCUGUACUUGGUGUUACUGCGAAGGGGGGACGGAGAAGGCUAUGUUGGCCGGGCGACGGUUGUCCCGGUUUAAGCGUGUAGGCUGGUUUUCCAGGCAAAUCCGGAAAAUCAAGGCUGAGGCGUGAUGACGAGGCACUACGGUGCUGAAGCAACAAAUGCCCUGCUUCCAGGAAAAGCCUCUAAGCAUCAGGUAACAUCAAAUCGUACCCCAAACCGACACAGGUGGUCAGGUAGAGAAUACCAAGGCGCUUGAGAGAACUCGGGUGAAGGAACUAGGCAAAAUGGUGCCGUAACUUCGGGAGAAGGCACGCUGAUAUGUAGGUGAAGUCCCUCGCGGAUGGAGCUGAAAUCAGUCGAAGAUACCAGCUGGCUGCAACUGUUUAUUAAAAACACAGCACUGUGCAAACACGAAAGUGGACGUAUACGGUGUGACGCCUGCCCGGUGCCGGAAGGUUAAUUGAUGGGGUCAGCGCAAGCGAAGCUCUUGAUCGAAGCCCCGGUAAACGGCGGCCGUAACUAUAACGGUCCUAAGGUAGCGAAAUUCCUUGUCGGGUAAGUUCCGACCUGCACGAAUGGCGUAAUGAUGGCCAGGCUGUCUCCACCCGAGACUCAGUGAAAUUGAACUCGCUGUGAAGAUGCAGUGUACCCGCGGCAAGACGGAAAGACCCCGUGAACCUUUACUAUAGCUUGACACUGAACAUUGAGCCUUGAUGUGUAGGAUAGGUGGGAGGCUUUGAAGUGUGGACGCCAGUCUGCAUGGAGCCGACCUUGAAAUACCACCCUUUAAUGUUUGAUGUUCUAACGUGGACCCGUAAUCCGGGUUGCGGACAGUGUCUGGUGGGUAGUUUGACUGGGGCGGUCUCCUCCUAAAGAGUAACGGAGGAGCACGAAGGUUGGCUAAUCCUGGUCGGACAUCAGGAGGUUAGUGCAAUGGCAUAAGCCAGCUUGACUGCGAGCGUGACGGCGCGAGCAGGUGCGAAAGCAGGUCAUAGUGAUCCGGUGGUUCUGAAUGGAAGGGCCAUCGCUCAACGGAUAAAAGGUACUCCGGGGAUAACAGGCUGAUACCGCCCAAGAGUUCAUAUCGACGGCGGUGUUUGGCACCUCGAUGUCGGCUCAUCACAUCCUGGGGCUGAAGUAGGUCCCAAGGGUAUGGCUGUUCGCCAUUUAAAGUGGUACGCGAGCUGGGUUUAGAACGUCGUGAGACAGUUCGGUCCCUAUCUGCCGUGGGCGCUGGAGAAUUGAGGGGGGCUGCUCCUAGUACGAGAGGACCGGAGUGGACGCAUCACUGGUGUUCGGGUUGUCAUGCCAAUGGCACUGCCCGGUAGCUAAAUGCGGAAGAGAUAAGUGCUGAAAGCAUCUAAGCACGAAACUUGCCCCGAGAUGAGUUCUCCCUGACUCCUUGAGAGUCCUGAAGGAACGUUGAAGACGACGACGUUGAUAGGCCGGGUGUGUAAGCGCAGCGAUGCGUUGAGCUAACCGGUACUAAUGAACCGUGAGGCUUAACCUU